CCAAGAUUCGGUAUUUUAGUAGGGAGCAGGCGCUGUGGAGGGCUUAGAGCUUGGUCAGACAUCAAAGAUGCCAAUGUCAUCCACUGUGUCCUGGGCCCGUCGACAGUUGUCCUGACUUUUGUCUUGCCACCGGACUUCAGUGACUCUGGAACGGAGAGCGAGGCUCUGCAACUCUGUCUCACUUAAAGAAUUCAUGUGCCAGUCAAGACAUGAUCCCAUGAUGUCACUGAUCCUCUUCAAAAACAAAGGACACGCAGCAACAACAGCACAGUGCCUGGCACAGAACCCUGUCCUCUUCCAAGCAGCCCUAUUUCUGCCAAAGGCACCACCAUCCUCCCAGUCCUCAAGACUCACGAUGGCACAUAAACAAAAGUGAGACACAUCUGUGUGCUUGAGAUUUCUUAGGGUAAGUAGACACUACAGAUGGCUACGGAAGUCUACAUACAAAGAAGAGAACCAUGGGCUCCCAAAGAGCACUAUAACCUCAUCAACUCAUUGUAUCUGAGAAAGCUUUCAACUAUGAUUUGACCUACGGCUGAACCUUACUUCUCCUGAGGAACAGCAUUGGUUAGUUUCCUGAUCUGCAGCCUUCUGAUAAACCCUGUGGUCUCACUAUGGAGUGUUGUGGGCUACAUGAAUCAACAUUGACACUGUUGACUGAGCAUUCUUUGCAGUAGUGGGAGAAAAUCACCUAAGCCCUCUCAGACAUGCUGCAGUCUGGUGCAUUCUGAGAUUCAGCUGACAUUGAGAAUGAAUGCUUUUCUCUCCCUGAAGCAAUUUUCUCUUCCUCAGCACUCGAAUGUAAGGAAAUCCUCACGGCAUCUGGAACACUUCUGCCCCACCCUGGACUCCAUCGUUGGGUGUUGAAUGCCUACACUGCACACUGAGUGAAGAGAAGAUAAAAGAGCUUUUUGCUCCCUGUCUGUUUGAGUUAGGAAACAUUUUCUGACUCUUGAGGUUUACACUGAAGAAGAACUGCCAGGUUUAUCAAAAGGGCCAGUUCAAUUUGAGAAAAUUGUUUAGUGCAGAGUGUUGACUUAAUAGGGUCUAAAAGUAGAAAGCUGAGUGCCAGCAGAGAUUGGAAAAAAUAAGCAGGUGUUGUCACUGCAGGAAUACAUAAACCCCCAAGUUAUUCACAUAGCCUAUGUGAUUCAUACAGGCUACCUGCUCACUUUAGUGGUAUUAUAAACUAAAACAUGAAAGUUCUGAGUGAUGAGGCAGUAAGAGGGCUAAGGGAGAAAAUGACCAAGUUAUUAGUGGGUUGGGCUACCUCCAAGUUUUCUACGUGGGUUUGGGCUAAUAUGUGGUUUCUUCAGUGACAGAAGAGUCACUUUUGAAGUUCAUGUCCUCUGAACAGUACUUGACAAUGGUGAGAUAUAGAUUGUAAUUUUCCAAGAUUAGGUAUACUGAGGCAUAAUAGAAAGAGGUCAAGACACCACAAACUAUGGGUUCCUGGAGCAUCCUGAUACAGAAAGUUUGCCUCAACUCUCACCCUCCUACAUCAGGGUUCUAAGAUACCCUGAGGGAUACUGGGAGUGUCUGUACUAGACUGUAUUCCCUGACUCAUUAUUAGGUUCCAGGAACUUUUGUCCCACUUCCAUUUAACAACUUAACAUCAAAUAGUUUUCACAAAAGGAUGUUUACUUUCAAGAUAUAGUAAGGAAACAGAGUGAACAUUACCCCCUAGUUCUUAGGGGAGUACUCUCACUUGUGCUACAUCACUCUCUUGAGGAAUAGGCUCAGAAUACUUAGCUCAGUUUGUAUUUAGCACUGUUCCUACUACGAUGAGGUGCAAUGCCAGAUGAAUGUUCUCAGAUUCCACUGGCCUGGGUCUAGUAAAUCACUCCUGAAAGUCACACCUUGAUCCUUGGAUCAUUGAAGCUGGACUGGCUAUAAAAUCCAGUCUAGACACUAAGUCCUUUAUUCCUCUGAUUCACUCUUCUGAAACUCACAAGUCAAAGACUCUACUUUCUUCACCUAUAAGAAGAAAAAAAAAAGAACAAAAGCACAGGCCAAUGGCCAAAGCCCAUUUUUCAGGGCAUAUGACCUGAAAGGCCUGAAGGUCUCUCCUCUUAUAGAGUCUCUCAUCACGAGUGAAGGAGUUACCAAAUCAGAUAAUAUGAGCCAGCAGUUUUUUGAAAAUAUCCCAAGUUUUCGCUACUCAUCGUGUUGAAAAAUAAUCCUCUCAACCAAGUGGUUGGAAAAUGGGAACCAUGUCUGCACAUGCUGUAUAGUCUCUUCCAUUACAAGUCACCAAGGCUUUCCCAGAAGCAGGCUCCCAACCUCUCCACAUGGACAGACACCAUCCAAAGUAUUGUGUUUGCACCAGAAACCUAUUACAUACACAUAAGAGAUUUUACUUGAUAUGACAGUAAACAAGAUGGAAAAGAAGAGAGAACUUUGAAAAUAGGAAAUGGGAGGAUCAGAGGCAAAAAGAAGUUGGAUGAAUGGGGAACAUAGACCUAUGGAGACAGGAGUCAAAUCACUCAGCAAUGAAUCAGCAGCAAUAUGGGAUUAUACUUACUUAUCCAGGCUGCCAAUCUGGAGUAAACUUUUCAAAAAUCAAAUCUAACAAUACUUGAGGGAAGUACUAGAGAGGCAGCAUAGCCUGGUAGAUGAAAAAAUAGCUUCACACUCAAGGAGACCCUGGUUCAAGUCUUGCCUGUGACACAUACUGGCUAGGUUACCCUGGGCAAAUGAUUUAAUCUCUCAUUACCUCAGGCAACUCUCUGAUAAAACUAUAAUUUGCAGGGCAAUUGCUGAUCUGCUAGUAGAGAGAGUUUCCUUGUUGGGAGUUCCCUAAAGCAAUAAAAACAUAGCUUCAAAUACCAAAUAGCUUGGAAAAAUAAGGAAAGGAAAAUGCUAGCAUUAGAAUCUGAAAAGUAAAACUGAAGGGAUCAAUCUUUAAAGGAUUUAUUGAAUAUCAACUAUAUGCCCAGCACUGAGUGUUCCUGAAGAAGCAAAAGACAGGAUCCCUGGAUUUAGUGCAUGUUGAAUGUUAUAUAGAGUAUGAAAAGAGAAAAUACAUGGAAGAUUAUAGGCUUUUUAAGCACAAGGGUCUUGCCUAGUAUAAAGCAGCCCCAAAGAACCCAGCAUAUUGUCAGGGACCAUACUCAGCAAACAGUUGUUCUAUGUAUGUGUUGGGGAGUAGGCUUGAUACAUGUUUUUAAAUAAUAGGGGUUUUUUUGAGUAAAAGUCUGUGAUAUAUUUGUUUAACAGUAGAAAAUAGAAAUAAAAACAAAAGCCAAUGACAAAUGAUCAGUAGUCAUUAACAAAUUCUUAAUCACUGUAAUGUUGUAUUCCUUCUACUCGCCCUUCACUGCCUUGUCCUGGCAGAGGAACUUACAUAGUUCAAUGAAACUUUGAGCUAUGCUGUACAAGAUUAAUCAAGAUGGAAAGGUCAUAGUGGAGAAUUCUGACAGAAGAUGAUUCCCUGGAGAAGGAAAUGACAAACUGCUCCAGUAUCUUUGCCAAGAAAAUUCCCAUAGACAGCACUAAAAUGAUAAAAGAGAUGACAUUGGAAAAUGAGCCCUUCAGAUUGGAAGGUGUCCCACACACUACUGGGGAAGAAUGGAAGACAACUACAUGUAGCUCCAGUACUCAUGAAGUGUUUGGGCCAAAACUGAAUGGAACCUCAGCUGUGGAUGAAUAAGGGGGAGGGGGAUUUUAAGUCAGUCAACACUUAAACAAAUUAAUUCAGGCUCUUCACUAGAAGGACAAAUAAUAAAGCUGAAGCUUGAAAACUUUGGCCACGUAAUGAGAAGAUGAGACUCAAUGGAAAAGCCCCUGAUGCUGAGCAAGAUUCAAGGCAGAGGAAAAGGAUAUGGCAGAUAAUGAGAUGGAUAGAUGAAAACAGUGAACAUGAACUUUGACAGACUUCAAGAGAUAGUGGAGGAUAGAAGGGCCUGCAUGUUAUGGUCCAUGGGGUCCUGAAGAAUCAGACAUGACUAAAGGAUUGAACCACAACAAAAAAUGUUGCACGGGCCAAUGGCAGUUCAGUCUCUAUGAGUACAAACAGAAUGCUUGGCCUGAAGCAAUCCUAACAGUUGAUCCCAAUCUCUCCUGGAGAUGCCCCCAAGUGAUAGAGGGCAGAAUGUGCCCCAAGGUAUUGAGGGAAAAUGGACUUCAGUUUCUGUCAUAUCUUCUCAGUAAAAAUCUCUUUGUAAAAGCUAAUUGAUGUUAACUAG
This is a long non-coding RNA of Phascolarctos cinereus (koala), 4187 nucleotides long. RefSeq lists it as uncharacterized. The record is from RefSeq and is a predicted model, not a curated record. Lineage: Eukaryota; Metazoa; Chordata; Mammalia; Diprotodontia; Phascolarctidae.